This 1502-nucleotide ribosomal RNA is filed under the name Helicobacter pylori. RNAcentral's name for it is "bacterial SSU rRNA". It matches the Rfam family "Bacterial small subunit ribosomal RNA". The record is from RNAcentral. Lineage: Bacteria; Pseudomonadati; Campylobacterota; Epsilonproteobacteria; Campylobacterales; Helicobacteraceae.
UUUAUGGAGAGUUUGAUCCUGGCUCAGAGUGAACGCUGGCGGCGUGCCUAAUACAUGCAAGUCGAACGAUGAAGCUUCUAGCUUGCUAGAAGUGGAUUAGUGGCGCACGGGUGAGUAACGCAUAGGUCAUGUGCCUCUUAGUUUGGGAUAGCCAUUGGAAACGAUGAUUAAUACCAGAUACUCCCUACGGGGGAAAGAUUUAUCGCUAAGAGAUCAGCCUAUGUCCUAUCAGCUUGUUGGUAAGGUAAUGGCUUACCAAGGCUAUGACGGGUAUCCGGCCUGAGAGGGUGAACGGACACACUGGAACUGAGACACGGUCCAGACUCCUACGGGAGGCAGCAGUAGGGAAUAUUGCUCAAUGGGGGAAACCCUGAAGCAGCAACGCCGCGUGGAGGAUGAAGGUUUUAGGAUUGUAAACUCCUUUUGUUAGAGAAGAUAAUGACGGUAUCUAACGAAUAAGCACCGGCUAACUCCGUGCCAGCAGCCGCGGUAAUACGGAGGGUGCAAGCGUUACUCGGAAUCACUGGGCGUAAAGAGCGCGUAGGCGGGAUAGUCAGUCAGGUGUGAAAUCCUAUGGCUUAACCAUAGAACUGCAUUUGAAACUACUAUUCUAGAGUGUGGGAGAGGUAGGUGGAAUUCUUGGUGUAGGGGUAAAAUCCGUAGAGAUCAAGAGGAAUACUCAUUGCGAAGGCGACCUGCUGGAACAUUACUGACGCUGAUUGCGCGAAAGCGUGGGGAGCAAACAGGAUUAGAUACCCUGGUAGUCCACGCCCUAAACGAUGGAUGCUAGUUGUUGGAGGGCUUAGUCUCUCCAGUAAUGCAGCUAACGCAUUAAGCAUCCCGCCUGGGGAGUACGGUCGCAAGAUUAAAACUCAAAGGAAUAGACGGGGACCCGCACAAGCGGUGGAGCAUGUGGUUUAAUUCGAAGAUACACGAAGAACCUUACCUAGGCUUGACAUUGAGAGAAUCCGCUAGAAAUAGUGGAGUGUCUAGCUUGCUAGACCUUGAAAACAGGUGCUGCACGGCUGUCGUCAGCUCGUGUCGUGAGAUGUUGGGUUAAGUCCCGCAACGAGCGCAACCCCCUUUCUUAGUUGCUAACAGGUCAUGCUGAGAACUCUAAGGAUACUGCCUCCGUAAGGAGGAGGAAGGUGGGGACGACGUCAAGUCAUCAUGGCCCUUACGCCUAGGGCUACACACGUGCUACAAUGGGGUGCACAAAGAGAAGCAAUACUGCGAAGUGGAGCCAAUCUUCAAAACGCCUCUCAGUUCGGAUUGUAGGCUGCAACUCGCCUGCAUGAAGCUGGAAUCGCUAGUAAUCGCAAAUCAGCCAUGUUGCGGUGAAUACGUUCCCGGGUCUUGUACUCACCGCCCGUCACACCAUGGGAGUUGUGUUUGCCUUAAGUCAGGAUGCUAAAUUAGCUACUGCCCACGGCACACACAGCGACUGGGGUGAAGUCGUAACAAGGUAACCGUAGGUGAACCUGCGGCUGGAUCACCUCCUU